CGGCGGGGCUUUACAAAUGCAAGUCGAGCGGUAACAGGAAUUAGCUUGCUAAUUUGCUGACGAGCGGCGGACGGGUGAGUAACGCGUAGGAAUCUGCCUAGUAGUGGGGGACAACAUGUGGAAACGCAUGCUAAUACCGCAUACGCCCUACGGGGGAAAGGAGGGGAUCUUCGGACCUUUCGCUAUUAGAUGAGCCUGCGUGAGAUUAGCUAGUUGGUGGGGUAAAGGCUCACCAAGGCGACGAUCUCUAGCUGGUCUGAGAGGAUGAUCAGCCACACUGGGACUGAGACACGGCCCAGACUCCUACGGGAGGCAGCAGUGGGGAAUAUUGGACAAUGGGCGCAAGCCUGAUCCAGCCAUGCCGCGUGUGUGAAGAAGGCCUUAGGGUUGUAAAGCACUUUCAGGAGUGAGGAAGGGUGUGUAGUUAAUACCUACAUAUUUUGACGUUAACUCCAGAAGAAGCACCGGCUAACUCUGUGCCAGCAGCCGCGGUAAUACAGAGGGUGCGAGCGUUAAUCGGAAUUACUGGGCGUAAAGCGCGCGUAGGUGGUUUGUUAAGUCGGAUGUGAAAUCCCAGGGCUCAACCUUGGAAUUGCACCCGAUACUGGCAAGCUAGAGUACGGUAGAGGGGUGUGGAAUU
This 640-nucleotide ribosomal RNA is filed under the name uncultured Marinomonas sp. RNAcentral's name for it is "bacterial SSU rRNA". It matches the Rfam family "Bacterial small subunit ribosomal RNA", at positions 40 to 668 of the family's 1533-position model. The record is from RNAcentral. Lineage: Bacteria; Pseudomonadati; Pseudomonadota; Gammaproteobacteria; Oceanospirillales; Oceanospirillaceae.